This 252-nucleotide ribosomal RNA is filed under the name uncultured bacterium. Its description in RNAcentral is "partial 16S ribosomal RNA". It matches the Rfam family "Bacterial small subunit ribosomal RNA", at positions 524 to 776 of the family's 1533-position model. The record is from RNAcentral.
UACGUAGGGGGCAAGCGUUGUCCGGAAUUAUUGGGCGUAACGCGCGCGCAGGCGGUCAGUUAAGUCUGGUGUUUAAGCCCGGGGCUCAACCCCGGUACGCACUGGAGACUGGAUGACUGGAGUGCAGGAGAGGGGAGUGGAAUUCCAUGUGUAGCGGUGAAAUGCGUAGAUAUGUGGAGGAAAAGCAGUGGCGAAGGCGACUCUCUGGCCUGUAACUGACGCUGAGGCGCGAAAGCGUGGGGAGCAAACAGG